Molecule: ribosomal RNA, 996 nt
Filed under: uncultured Staphylococcus sp.
Lineage: Bacteria; Bacillati; Bacillota; Bacilli; Caryophanales; Staphylococcaceae
Description: bacterial SSU rRNA
Rfam family: Bacterial small subunit ribosomal RNA
Source: RNAcentral
CAGCAGCCGCGGUAAUACGUAGGUGGCAAGCGUUAUCCGGAAUUAUUGGGCGUAAAGCGCGCGUAGGCGGUUUUUUAAGUCUGAUGUGAAAGCCCACGGCUCAACCGUGGAGGGUCAUUGGAAACUGGAAAACUUGAGUGCAGAAGAGGAAAGUGGAAUUCCAUGUGUAGCGGUGAAAUGCGCAGAGAUAUGGAGGAACACCAGUGGCGAAGGCGACUUUCUGGUCUGUAACUGACGCUGAUGUGCGAAAGCGUGGGGAUCAAACAGGAUUAGAUACCCUGGUAGUCCACGCCGUAAACGAUGAGUGCUAAGUGUUAGGGGGUUUCCGCCCCUUAGUGCUGCAGCUAACGCAUUAAGCACUCCGCCUGGGGAGUACGACCGCAAGGUUGAAACUCAAAGGAAUUGAUGGGGACCCGCACAAGCGGUGGAGCAUGUGGUUUAAUUCGAAGCAACGCGAAGAACCUUACCAAAUCUUGACAUCCUUUGACCCUUCUAGAGAUAGAAGUUUCCCCUUCGGGGGGCAAAGUGACAGGUGGUGCAUGGUUGUCGUCAGCUCGUGUCGUGAGAUGUUGGGUUAAGUCCCGCAACGAGCGCAACCCUUAAGCUUAGUUGCCAUCAUUAAGUUGGGUACUCUAAGUUGACUGCCGGUGACAAACCGGAGGAAGGUGGGGAUGACGUCAAAUCAUCAUGCCCCUUAUGAUUUGGGCUACACACGUGCUACAAUGGACAAUACAAAGGGCAGCGAAACCGCGAGGUCAAGCAAAUCCCAUAAAGUUGUUCUCAGUUCGGAUUGUAGUCUGCAACUCGACUACAUGAAGCUGGAAUCGCUAGUAAUCGUAGAUCAGCACGCUACGGUGAAUACGUUCCCGGGUCUUGUACACACCGCCCGUCACACCACGAGAGUUUGUAACACCCGAAGCCGGUGGAGUAACCAUUUGGAGCUAGCCGUCGAAGGUGGGACAAAUGAUUGGGGUGAAGUCGUAACAAGGUAGCCGU